AUGUCUGAUGCAAAAGUGAAUACAAAAGGGAGUCCUGCGUCUGAACAUGCUCAGUACAAUCACAUGUCUACAACCCCUCUCACACCAAAGAAAUACAGUCAAACUGGCAAACCAACUCCAACUCCCACCAUUCCUAACAGCCUCAGGUCUGAUGUACAAGUGAAAACAAAAGGGAGUCCUGCGUCUGAACAUGCUCAGUACAAUCACAUGUCUAUAACUCCUCUCACACCAAAGAAAUACAGUCAAACUGGCAAACCAACUUCAACUCCCACCAUUCCUAACAGCCUCAGGUCUGAUGCACAAGUGAACACAAAAGGGAGUCCUGCGUCUGAACAUGCUCAGUACAAUCACAUGUCUACAAGCCCUCUCACACCAAAGAGGUACGGUCAAACUGGCAAACCAUCUUCAACUCCCACCAUUCCUAACAGCCUCAGGUCUGAUACAAAAGUGAAUACAAAAGGGAGUCCUGCGCCUGAACGUGCUCAGUACAAUCACUUGUCUACAACCCCUCUCACACCAAAGAAGUACAGUCAAACUGGCAAAUCAACUUCAACUCCCACCAUUCCGAACAGCCUCAGGUCUGAUACAAAAGUGAAUACAAAAGGGAGUCCUGCGCCUGAACGUGCUCAGUACAAUCACUUGUCUAUAACCCCUCUCACACCAAAGAAGUACAGUCAAACUGGCAAAUCAACUUCAACUCCCACCAUUCCUAACAGCCUCAGGCCCCUUCCUUUUCCCCUUCCGCCGCUUAAGCGGAGUCAAAGUGCUGCCAAACUGCGUUAAAUCUACCGUGUAGAUGCACCCAAAGUCAACUUGAUGGCCAAUGACAACAAUAGCAAGUAAUUGCACGCUGUUUUGGGCAACUAUCGAUCAUUUCCCUUUAAGUGCUCCCCAAAAUAAUAAUCUAUUCAACAUGGUUUUAGGAGGUGCAACUCCACUGUAGAUUAUGAUAACGAUGAUUAAUUGUGAUUAUGAUUAUGAUUAAAUCAUCUGUAGAUGGAAUGCUUUAAUUGCCAUGGCUCAAUGCAGUUGAAUCCCGGGAGUUCCAGUCUGACAUGGCCUGUGGCCUUCUCGGUCAAAGAGGAUCCGUGCCUCCUCAAACUACAAAUCCCACUACAAAAUUUCAAUCACUACUUGAAUUGCCCAAGCAUUGAGCCUGGGCAGUUCAAGCGGGAUCAAACUGCAUUAAUUCUACAGUGUGAAUCCCGGGAGUUCCAGUUUGACAUGGUCUCUGGCCAUCUCGGUCAGAAGAACAAUUAUUCAUCUCCCUCUAAUUAGGACUUCAUUUUUCUUUUCUUUUUGUUGUAUGAACGUAGAGGCGUGGAUGAGCGGUUGUGCUGUCAGUUUUCGAGGUUGUGGGGUGUUUAGUUUUGUUGUUUUGUCCUCGGCCGAAAUUUCAUUACCCUUUUAUAUAUAUAGACUAGCUGUGCCCGGCCACGCGUUGCUGUGGCAAAGUGGUGGUGGUAUUGGUUAAAAAUUGUUGCGUAAUUUUUAUUUGACGUGAUUUGCAAUUUUUUUAUUAAUUUUAUUGUAAGUGAUAUUUUUAAUUAUUAUAUUUUAUUAUUUUCUUGUAUUAUUUUUCGUUAUUUUCUGUUAUUAUAGUAUUUUAUUGUAUUAAUUUUUAGUGUGUUUUUAUUAUUUUUUAUUGGGUUGCUAGGAGACCAAGUUGGAGGAGCUUAGCCUUCUAACUGGCAGCAGUUGGAUAAAAGCAAUUAUUCCUCUCUCUCUAAUUAGGACUUUAUUUUUCUUUUCUUUUGGUUGUAUCAACCUAGAGGCGUGGAUGAUGGGUUGUGUUGUCAAAUUUCGAGGUUGGGGGGCCUGUAGUUUUGUUGUUUUGUGGGUCGCCGUGAUGCCAUCACUCUUUUAUAUAUAUAGAAGAUUAUUAUUAUCUCCUUCCCUCCUUUUGCGAUGUUGCAAUGCCCACUUAGGUGGGUGUCUUUUAAAACUGGAAAGCCCACUCUUUAAAAAUAAAAUAAAAUUAGCAGAGUGCAUGCAUGCUUUGAAAGGGAAAGUGGAAGGGAAAGAAAGAUACCCAAGGUCUUGGGUUCAGGUGAAUGCACGGUUUGCAAUGUUUACGUUUGCAUCACCCGGGGCUCCUCCGGCAGGUGAAGAAGUCAAGUGGAAGUCGAGAGAUAGAUAAUGUUUGGGUGGCUUUAUUUUGCUUUGAAGGCAGGAAAAAAAAUCACCUCUGGGCUUCGAGGUCUGACGUUGCUCCAGCACGAGGAAGCGUCGCCAUCCAGAAAGACUUGCACGCAAAAGUUGUCCGGAUUCAACCUUUCCCUGAAGAUAUCGUGACUAAAGGCCGUGGCCUGACCUGACCACGGAAGGGAAUCACAAGGCAUGGGCCAACUUUGGCCCUCUUUCCAGGUGUUUUGGACUCCAACUCCCACCAUCCCUAACGAAAAAGUGCAAAUGUGAGGGUUUAUAUAGGUAAGGUAAAGGUAAAGGUUUUCCCUUGACGUUGAGUCGAGUUGUGUCCAACUCUGGGGGUUGGGGCUCAUCUCCAUUUCUAAGCCCAAGAGCCGGCGUUGUCCGUAGACACCUCCCAAGGCCAUGUGGCCAUUGGCAUGACUGCAUGGAGCACGAUUACCUUCCCACCAGAGCAGUACCUAUUGAUCUACUCACGCCCUGGGGUUGGGGCUCAUCUCCAUUUCUAAGCCCAAGAGCCGGCGUUGUCCAUAGACACCUCCAAGGCCAUGUGGCCAUUGGCAUGACUGCAUGGAGCACGAUUACCUUCCCGCCAGAGCAGUACCUAUUGAUCUACUCACGCCCUGGGGGUUGGGGCUCAUCUCCAUUUCUAAGUUGAAGAGCCGGCAUUGUCCGUAGACACCUCCCAAGGCCAUGUGGCCAUUGGCAUGACUGCAUGGAGCAUGAUUACCUUCCCGCCAGAGCAGUACCUAUUGAUCUACUCACACCCUGGGGUUGGGGCUCAUCUCCAUUUCUAAGCCCAAGAGCCGGCGUUGUCCAUAGACACCUCCAAGGCCAUGUGGCCAUUGGCAUGACUGCAUGGAGCACGAUUACCUUCCCGCCAGAGCAGUACCUAUUGAUCUACUCACACCCUGGGGUUGGGGCUCAUCUCCAUUUCUAAGCCUAAGAGCCGGCGUUGUCCAUAGACACCUCCAAGGCCAUGUGGCCAUUGGCAUGACUGCAUGGAGCACGAUUACCUUCCCACCAGAGCAGUACCUAUUGAUCUACCCACACCCUGGGGUUGGGGCUCAUCUCCAUUUCUAAGCCUAAGAGCCGGCAUUGUCCAUAGACACCUCCAAGGCCAUGUGGCCAUUGGCAUGACUGCAUGGAGCACGAUUACCUUCCCACCAGAGCAGUACCUAUUGAUCUACUCACACCCUGGGGUUGGGGCUCAUCUCCAUUUCUAAGCCUAAGAGCCGGCGUUGUCCAUAGACACCUCCCAAGGCCAUGUGGCCAUUGGCAUGACUGCAUGGAGCAUGAUUACCUUCCCGCCAGAGCAGUACCUAUUGAUCUACCCACACCCUGGGGGUUGGCGCUCAUCUCCAUUCCUAAGCCAAAGAGACGGAGUUGUCCGUAGACUCCUCCAAGGGCAUGUGGCCAAAGGCAUGACUGCAUGGAGCACCGUUACCUUCCUGUCUGAACAGUAGCUAUUGAUCUACUCACAUUUACAUGUUUUCCAACUGCUGGGUUGGCAGAAGCUGGGGCUAAUAGUGGGGGCAGUACCUAUUGAUCUACUCACAUUUGAAUGUUUUCGAACUGCUAGGUUGGCAGAAGCUGGGGCUAAUAGCAGGAGCAGUACCUAUUGAUCUACUCACAUUUGCAUGUUUCCGAACUGCUAGGUUGGCAGAAGCUGGGGCUAACAGCGGGAGCAGUACCUAUUGAUCUACUCACAUUUGAAUGUUUUCGAACUGCUAGGUUGGCAGAAGCUGUGGCUAAUAGCGGGAGAGGU
Long non-coding RNA from Anolis carolinensis (green anole), 3916 nucleotides. Lineage: Eukaryota; Metazoa; Chordata; Lepidosauria; Squamata; Anolidae. The record is from Ensembl.